RNAcentral lists this long non-coding RNA (352 nucleotides) under Nicotiana benthamiana. RNAcentral describes it as "long non-coding RNA (NBEN_LNC018393)". Lineage: Eukaryota; Viridiplantae; Streptophyta; Magnoliopsida; Solanales; Solanaceae. The record is from RNAcentral.
UCUCAUAGAUCUAUUCCAGAUUGAAUAGUUUUCAAUACCAGUUAAUUGAAAAGAAAUGAUUUGAAUUCCACUUACAUCUGUUAGAGACAAGAAACAAUUGGAUUUCCAGAGUUUUGAGUCACACGUUCCCCUAUGCUCAGAUUUGCAGAGUUCAGCUCUAAUUGUUCUCCAAUCGACCCCAUUGCUUCUUGAAUUUUAAAAUUCAGAUAUGGCUUUUGUUACUGGUAUAAACUCGAUGAAUUUACAAGCUUCAAUUUCUAAGCUUGUGAAGCUCUGAUACCAUAUUGCAAUUAAAUAAAGAGGAGAAAUGUAAACUUGCUAUGAAGAAGACGAAGAGAGAGAGAGAGAGAGG